This 253-nucleotide ribosomal RNA is filed under the name uncultured bacterium. Its description in RNAcentral is "partial 16S ribosomal RNA". It matches the Rfam family "Bacterial small subunit ribosomal RNA", at positions 524 to 776 of the family's 1533-position model. The record is from RNAcentral.
UACAGAGGGUGCGAGCGUUAAUCGGAAUUACUGGGCGUAAAGCGUGCGUAGCCGGUUAUGUAAGUCAGGUGUGAAAGCCCUGGGCUCAACCUGGGAACUGCGAUGGAUACUGAGGAGCUGGAGUACGGUAGAGGAAGGUGGAAUUCCCGGUGUGGCGGUGAAAUGCGUAGAGAUCGGGAGGAACAUCAGUGGCGAAGGCGGCCUUCUGGACCAGUACUGACGCUGAGGCACGAAAGCGUGGGGAGCAAACAGG